GUUUCUGUAGCGUAAUGGAUAGCGCAUUAGACUACUAAUCCAAAGGUCGUGGGUUCGAAUCCUACCUGGAAUG
Molecule: non-coding RNA, 73 nt
Organism: Trichonephila inaurata madagascariensis
Lineage: Eukaryota; Metazoa; Arthropoda; Arachnida; Araneae; Nephilidae
Source: the annotation of a GenBank genome assembly